Long non-coding RNA from Suricata suricatta (meerkat), 1692 nucleotides. RefSeq lists it as uncharacterized. The record is from RefSeq and is a predicted model, not a curated record. The transcript has 3 exons. Lineage: Eukaryota; Metazoa; Chordata; Mammalia; Carnivora; Herpestidae.
CCCGUUAGCGCCACACGGACCUCCCAUGGCUUGGAUGGGGUCCCCCUAGAUGCCCCGCUUCGGGAACAAGCCUUCACGUGCGCGCUCCUCCUCCGGAGGUGACGUGUCCAACCGCGCCCCCUUUCUCCUGCAGCCGGGACGCUUUUCUUUCGCCGUGAUAUAAAAUUCAACAAUUCAAAACCUCCCUGCCCUCACGGAGCGUGGAUUCUAGCAGAGGAGGAAGUACAGUAAUGACAGUAAACGAAUGCGCGUGUAAUAUAAUCGCUGGAAAAAGAGGAAGGAGCACAGCAGCACGUGAAUGGGGUGGAGGGCGGCAGAGGGCGGCGACCCCAGAUUGGGGGAACCAGAGAGAGUCUCUCUGGGAAGGUGACGUCUGGGCAGAGACUGGAACCAGGGAGGAGCAGGAGCCACGUGAAUGUCUCAGGAAUGCUCCACACACACACGGCCGGUGAGCGGUGAGCACGGGAGCACUCCGGGAGCCAGAAGGGGAGCACUAUGGGAGACAGUGUGGGAGCACUCUGGGAGACAGAGUGGGAGCACUCCGGGAGUCAGAAGGGGAGCACUCCGGGAGCCAGUAGGGGAGCACCCCGGGAGCCGGGAGCCAGCGUGAGAGCAUUCUGGGAGCCACCACGGGAGCACUCUGGGAGCCAGCAGGAGAGCAUGCCGGAAGCCAGCAUGGGAGCACUCUAGGACCCAGCAUGGGAGCACAGUUGGAGCCAAGGAAGACCACAGAGCACUGGUGAGAUGUGAACCAAUUCGUGCUUUUGGAAGAGCACCCUGGCUGCUUCCCGUAGACCUGACCGCUGAGGACUUAGAAGAACAAGGCCACAGGCGCGGCCCCUGCAGAGAUGCGUGGUGCGAGCGGACAUCGCUGGUAGCAGCGGUGAAUCCUGUAUCUUCUCUGAAAUACGGUUUCAUCUCCCACAAUUAGAUCUAUGAUCUGCCUGCACUUGAACUGUUUUGUAAUCUAAUUGGCCAAGCCCCAUUUACUGAAAAGGUCAUCCUAAAUGAGACCCCAGAGAGAUGACCUCUACCGUGUGACCCAGCAGAAGAUGGCUCUCGACCAACCCGGAAGUGGGCUCGCUGGGACCCAACCCGGAAGUGGGCUCGCUGGGAACCCAAGUGGCCGCGUCUUCUCUGACUUCCGGCCUCCAGAACUGUGAAAGAAGUGUCUGUUGUGUAGGCCCCCCUGUUACAAUAUUUCGUCCCAGAGACUUGAGCGAGAUCGCCUGCUGCCGCAUGGACGGCACUGGAGGACAGGACCCUCCGCGAAAUAAGCCAGAGACAAAGGAGGAGGUCCGUCCGGUUCCGCUUGUUCGAGGCGCCUGCGCCCGGUCCUUCUAGCCAAAGAAUCAAGUUGACAUGAGGCAGAUUCACAAGAGAAAAUCUAACUUCAUGGCGUACAUGCAGGGAAUCCACACAGACCUGGAAAUUCCAAAGACAGCCAGGCAAAUUGAGGUGCAUGUCCUCCUGAACCGAGGAGAAGGGGGCUUGUAGCCCGCAGCCGGACAACAUGAGGUAGACUUCAGAGAAGCUGUCACAACGGCCACGAGUUUACGCAAUCCUCGGGUCCCCACUGGACAGGCCGCGGAGAAGGAUCACCAGAGACCUCCAGCGGCGGCCCAGGAAGGCCUGUCAGAUGGCCACGGCCCGCUCCCCGCCCGUCCCAGGACGCUUCCGGCCCCACACCUG